This 253-nucleotide ribosomal RNA is filed under the name uncultured bacterium. RNAcentral describes it as "partial 16S ribosomal RNA". It matches the Rfam family "Bacterial small subunit ribosomal RNA", at positions 524 to 776 of the family's 1533-position model. The record is from RNAcentral.
UACGUAGGGUGCGAGCGUUGCCCGGAUUUAUUGGGCGUAAAGGGCGCGUAGGCGGCCUUCUAAGUCGAACGUGAAAUCCCCGGGCUCAACCCGGGAACUGCGUCCGAUACUGGAAGGCUUGAAUCCGGGAGAGGGAUGUGGAAUUCCAGGUGUAGCGGUGAAAUGCGUAGAUAUCUGGAGGAACACCGGUGGCGAAGGCGACAUCCUGGACCGGUAUUGACGCUGAGGCGCGAAAGCCAGGGGAGCAAACGGG